CAGUGGGGCCUGUUCGACAGAACAUUUGGGAGAACAGAUGCACAAGAUGCUGACCCAGAGGGAAGGGUACCUGAUUGGAGCAAAGCUUCUGUGCAGGAGAUGAAGGAUAGGUUCGUUGCUGUUGGGUUGGGUCCUCGCCAGGUGACCACUACUCCCUUCACAGUGAUCACAUUUUUCCAUGAAAGAAUGCAAAAACUGUCAUCUAGUGUGAUGCUUAACAGAUAGGUCUCCUUUUGCAGCUUGCUGUGAUGUCAGCCUUCCUCGGACCUGACCAAGCCGCUACCGAGGAACGACUGAUUGCUGAUCCAGAUUGCCGCCCAUGGGUCGAGAAGUACCAAAGGAGUCGUGAAACAGUAUCCCGGACAGACUAUGAAGUAAGCUACUGAUUUUCGUUUGUGCACGAACUGCCAGUGUAUCAGGAGGGUUCAUCUCUCUCUUGAUUGAUGCUAACUUGUGCCUCUGUGUUCUGUAUGACAGGUUGACCUGAUAACCGCACUCACAAAGCUGGGCUCCCUAGGCCAGAAGAUAAAUUAUGAAGCCUACACGUACCCUAAGCAAAAGAUUGACCUGGGCAAAUUGAAACUGUGAGAGAGAUGCUUGCCGGGUAUCUGCAUUGGCCAGACUCUUCUCAUGAUCUGGUGGUUCCGUCUGCUCAAGAGUGACUCAUUCGGCGGUGGUUCUGGUUCAUGUAUUGGCGGUUCAUCAGCUGUCUGACUUCAUUUUCGGACAUUUCUCCAUUGCAAUUAGGACGGUCCGUCUACUAGAUGGUUAGAUUUCGAAUUUC
This 784-nucleotide long non-coding RNA is filed under the name Setaria viridis. RNAcentral describes it as "long non-coding RNA (SVIR_LNC008449)". The record is from RNAcentral. Lineage: Eukaryota; Viridiplantae; Streptophyta; Magnoliopsida; Poales; Poaceae.